ACUGCCAGCAGGUGCAGGACCGCGUCUGAUUAAGACAAACAGAGAGAAGUGAAAGUUUGAUCAGAGACAAACUAAAUAACAAUAAAAGUUGAAGUGAUGCUGACAGUGUCUCCAGAUGGAAGAAUCACCGACCUACUGACGAGGGAGAGGAGGAUGAGAGUCUGUGACUUCUUCUGAAGGAGGAGGGGUAUCCUGUUUCUCUGCAUGUCUUCAGUGGAGCAACAGGAGCUGUGUCAAUUAGCAGCCUGUGUACGGAGGCCUCCGAGUGACAAACAAGACGCUGGAGACAAGGUGAUCCCUCCUGGAGGUGUGAGUGCCCAUGUUGAGCAGCCUGUUACCGGCAGGAAAGAUGUCAUUCAUUAUGAAAAAUGCUUAAUGAGAUCCCUCCCGAUACUACCUCCCGAUUCCAAACUAGACUAGCGCCCCUCUGAAUUGUUAAUGGUGAUAUUAAAUAUUUAAGAUAUGAAUAAAGA
Platichthys flesus (European flounder) is the source of this 473-nucleotide long non-coding RNA. RefSeq lists it as uncharacterized. The record is from RefSeq and is a predicted model, not a curated record. The transcript has 3 exons. NCBI's taxonomy places the organism in Eukaryota, Metazoa, Chordata, Actinopteri, Pleuronectiformes, Pleuronectidae.